Long non-coding RNA from Grus americana (Whooping crane), 7176 nucleotides. RefSeq lists it as uncharacterized. Lineage: Eukaryota; Metazoa; Chordata; Aves; Gruiformes; Gruidae. The transcript is spliced from 5 exons. The record is from RefSeq and is a predicted model, not a curated record.
UUUCUUUUUUGCUGUUUUCUUCUUCCCUUGCUUACGAAGCCCUCUGCUCCAUCUCCUGCCAGAAGAUCUACUGCACCUGAGCUUUCUGCCUGCCUUUCUCUCCGAUUAACGUGCCCUGUCGCUUUUCUGCGUGUCUUCAGUGCCUGCUCUCCCCGCUGACUCCCGCCAGCUGCGGCAGGCUGUGGCUUUAGCUCCUGUACCUGCCAGCCUGAGCAGAAAUGGUGCCUUUUGCAGGAGAAUGGUGGCUCUGACCGAACAUCCGUCUGACGGAGUGACGCUCAGCGAUAUCCUCAUGCUGCCGGGGUGCCAAUCAUAUCUCCAGUGCUUUGACUGUCUGGUUAGGGAGUUGAUUCGAGGGUGUAACGGUGCAGACCGUGAAUGAAAUCUGUGUUACCUGAUGGGCCUGACUCCACAGUGCUGUGUAGACCAGUCUCUUCAAUGCCGCGGCUGAUGUCGCCUGCAUGUCCUGCAGUAGCUGCUGAAGCACUCGACUGCUGAUUUUACUUGCCUGGGAACACAGUAACAUCUGCUCCUCCAGGUUUCGUGAAAGAUGAACUUCAUCAUGGCAGAAAAGGCUGAUUUAUUUUUGGUUCUCAGAACAGUUGUGACAAUAAUAAAAAUUAUAAGCUUGCCUCUAUGUUUGGCUAUUUGCUAAACAGUUUCUGCUCCGACCUGCUCACGACCCCAGCCCCGAAAGCCCAUCUUCCCCAAUGCGUGGGGCAGCACACAGAGCACCGACGGCUGCGUCUGUGCCGGGAGCAGCGCUCCCAUGCGCUGCCUCAUGUCGCACAAAAGCUGAACAGAUUGGCGGUGCAGCGAAAAUGUACCUGUGUUGUAGCCAGCUCUACUGAGGAUGUGUAAAAUGCUAUGGGAAGAAACCUUUCCCAUGCAAAGCUCCGCUCUGAAAGCCUCUCGGAGUUGAAGGUUAAGCAGUUCGAGUUCCAGCUGGAACGAGCAGGCUGACUUUAUACGUGAACUCUGAAAUGUGCAUUCAAAGGUUACACCUGUAACUUUCGCAGCACAGCUGCCUGUUACCCAUGCCCUUGAACUCAGAAGACCAGCAGAGGGUACAGAGAAACUAGCUUUGUCCUGCUACGGGCAACCUGAAGCCAGUCCGCGCUGCUGCUGCUGCUCUUCUUGGAGCACAAAGUUCCCCACGCCGAGUUCCAGCAGUACUCAACAGGCUCGCGACUGUCCAGCUGGGUACAGCCAUCCAGUGACCGUACUGCUUCUACCCUUCACCUCGACUUGCGAUGCUCUUCCGAUUUUGAAGAUGUAGGUCUCAACAUGCCAAUACAUGUUGCCUAAACAUUAGAAGUGCACGUGGGACGGGAAUAAGCAGAACUACUACGUGGGAAGAGCACCGUUCCUCGUGGCUUUAUUCUUCCAAACUACUACUUAAGCCGAUGGUAAUCCUAAGCAGAGCUGAAUGCCGUUUGUCUGGGCUGCACCAGGCAUCCAGAACUGGGCCAAGUCCUCGGGAAACGAUCAGCACCAUUCCACUACGCACAUCCCUCAGCUUUUCCUGACGUACAGGGUCAUUGGACUGAGCUGGUAGAUGUAUCGGUUCAUUAACUUCAUAAGUUAAUGGUUCUCGUUAUGCAAAUUAGUAUUGAGAUGUAAAUUAACCUUUUCCCUGUUAGCUGUUAAAAUAUGAGGGUAUAAUCUCUAUAUUCAGGAUGUUUGUAGAAGAUUAUUACUCACUAGCAUGUGGAUUUUGAUUGAUUAUUUCCAGUUCUAGUAAUCAUUAACAACUACUGGUAGUUUAAGAAUUACUUUUUAUUUCAAAGGGUAGAAUUUAUUUGGCUUUACACCAGGGUAGAUUAAGUAAGCCACGCUGAGCAGUUAUUACCUUUCCCUUCAAUCGCACUGCUGUGUAAAGAGGCAAUACGUUCUGCUGCUUGUGCUUUUUCAACUCUGAAUUUCACCUUUAAUAUUAAUAAAAUAUGUUGACAUAUCAAACAAUGUAACUAAUAGGUAAAGCAGAACAAAAUGAGUCACUAUUUAAACUAUUUUUUUAGAUCACACUUUCUCUAUUAAAGUAUAUCAAUCAAAAGACAAAGAGAUACAACUUAGGUAACCAGAGGAAAAACUUGCAGAAAUGUACAAGGUGAGAUAAACUGAAGGUGAAUAAAAGAACUGCAUCAGAAUUCCCAUAACGAAAGUCCAAGAAAUAAACCAAAUUAACUUCUUGAUUAAAUAUGACUCCUAGGAAGACACGUGCCCUAUCUUGGGAGUUUGUAAUUCUGCCGCAGAUAUGAUGCGGUAAGUCAAAGCUGGGGAGGAAAUAGAAGGGUGGCUGGGUGACGUUUUCCUAACCAUGGGUACAUAAAUAACUACAUGUGUCUGUUCUGCAUGCCUUCUGCUCCAAAAUACUCGACACAGUUCACUUUUUCCUUUGUUCUCUUAAAGUCCUUUUAGCCCAAAGUAUCUUUGCUAACACAGCCUGGUUCUGGUCUCGUUGCUCAGACGUUGUUUUAGCAGAGCCCAUCCUCAAGCAUCUAAUGAGAGUUUAGUCUGAUGCAGCAUACGUAGCAAAGGGCCUGGGGGCAAAAAAAAAAAAAAAAAAAAAAAAAAUCCUAUUAAAUGGACUACUGGUGGGGUCUAUUAGAUUUGUUCUCAAAUUAGGCCCAUGAUGUCUUGGGUGAUUACUGUAGGGUAUUACAAGGUUAUUUUGUGUGCAAGUAUGUGACAGAACAAGGGAUGUUCUAGUAAUUCCAGAACUGCUUAUAUUUUCUCCUAAAAUCAAUACAACCGUAUUAUCUGGACAGACAACUGGUUUGGCUUCGCGCUUGAUUAUAAGGAUAUCUAAUUGCCUGAAGCUCUGCUUGUGGAUUGAGCUACCAAAUGAAACUUUAGAUAAAUAUUCAAAAUAUCCAAGCACUUGGUCAUCGUUUAAAAAUUACCUGUGACAGGAAGACUGUGAAGUCUGUUGUGCGACAAUAUCCCUUUCCUGUGGUACGAGGCCAAGUGUACGGAGAGAAACAAAAUUAUCAAAAUUUCUGGGCUACUGCUCCUUCCUUUGAGCCAUCCUACGGCAGCUCUAAUUCAAAGCUCCUCAAGACAUGUUUCACCGAUUUAUUAUGUGAAACUCCUCCUCCUCAAAGAGGAGAAUUAUCACUUCUCAAAUUUUAACCCAGGUUGUUUCACUCGUGGUUUACAGCGUGAGCCAAUUCAAUAGCUGUCUCGGAACAACUGUGAGGGGGUGACAAGCCACAGUGUGUGCGUAGGAACGAGUGACUUUGCCACCAGAGAUCAUGUAAUGUUAGAAACUUUCCAAACUUCAACAGCACAAUGCUGUCAGUCGAGGCACAAGCCCAUAAAAUUGGGUCUAAUACUGCUGUGGAAACUAUGCUGAGGGCUAAAAAUAUUAUUUAAAAAUUAGAGUUUCUUUUCUUGUGCAUUUUUCCAUCAAUUCCUGACUUCAGUGAGAGUUGUUUCAAGCCCUGUCUGAAAAGAUGGAGCAUUACAGAGAAGUUAAAGAUGAUGUGAAGGUGUUCUGUGACAGCAGUUAACUCUAAAGAAUCACAAAUCUUGUGCUUCAAAUGCACCAAAAAUACCUUACAAGAAUUUUGAAUGUUUGUGUCUUGGAAAUUAGGAUGAACAUACACACAUUUAAGCACUAAACUAGUUAUUAGCAAACACACGUGCUUAAUCCAGGCUAAUUUACAACCUUGAUUGCUCUGGUUUUUUAAUCUUUGAAUACAGUUUUGCAAAUUUUCAGUCCCCAUUGACCUGCUGUUGUGGAAUUGUUCGAAAGUCCUUGACUAAAUAUUAAAUACCCUUGGAGUGUGAUGGGACAUUGUGUGCUACUGGAAGCGCCGCUGGUAGCGCGUCCGCAGUCACCAGCAACACGUGGGCUUGCCCACUGCUACCAAGAGUAUCUGCUUCGUUAUGCUCCCUUGCCUCCUUCCUUUCACCUCCUUAAGAAAGUUAGGUGUUUCUAAAGAGAGAAUUAGAUGGGUGGAACCUUCUUCCAAGGUUACAUGCUUCAAGAAUUAAAAAAGACAUUGGAUGUUUUCCCAUUAGUCUUUAUGGGACUGAGUCAACAGGAGACUUUAAACAGUUGCAGCUUGCAAGGAGACUUGCAGCUCGUGAUGGCUGCAAAAGAGGGCUGAGCCCUAAAUCACCUGAUGGGUCCAUUCCUCUUCCUUCAGUGCAGCAACAGACAUGAGAAGGUGCCAAAAAUAUCCGGGCAGCAAGAAACGUGUGGGUUUGCUGAUUAGUUCACCAUUUCAGAGGUCAUGGGAUUUUGUCGAUGCUAGCAUUAUUCCCUGCACUCGAUCAGAGUGGUUCUGUGUACUCCAGAGGAGCCUUCGGAAGGACGGAGACUUUUUAACCAUUUGGAUUACCACUCAAGAUGAGACAGUUUCUAUUACAGUAUGACUGCUUGUUUUGCUUGCUUGAUUUUACCUUGUUUUGUUUGGUUUUCCUUCAGGAUGGGUAGCCCUGCUCCUAAACCCACGUGUCCUUGCAAGCUUAAGCUUCUACAUGGCCACAAGUAAUUUCAACCUCGAUUUGUGAAAGGGCAAAACCAGGUGUGUGAGAGGGUUUUUCCUACAUGGGUCCAUUACAUGGGAUUCACUUGUGUGUCUUUGCCUGAAAGACUGCAUCUCUCCCAGUGCCUUUUUGUAAGGUGCUGGAAUUCAGAGGUGAAAGCAACCAGCUCGGGACGAGCGUGGCUGCAGCACGCUGCCAUCUCCAUCGCUUUGGGGCUGGGGUGGCACGUGCAGAUCUCAACGGUCAGCCAGCGAUCGCCCAGCACCGCGUAGCUCUGUACGUGACGAGCCGGCUUGUGCUCAGCCCUAGUGCUCUGACCUUCGCUUAAACGCAGGCAGCAACUCUACAUGUCCAUUCUCCAAAGUAGCUGGAUGUGAGUUCACAGACUCCCUGGAGCUCCCAGGCGCUCUCGUGCACGCUCGCCGCAGGCAUCCGGGAUACGAUGGAGCAGCCGGAUGAUGUUGUCGCUUGUUUCUAUUUGCCAGCACAAGGUUACCAAGGCUAAUAUUUGAGGAUCAGGAACACGAACAGAAGAUCCAAGUCUGCUCCUGCUCCCUGGCCAGCUGUGGUAUCUAAGACCCGGACUGCAGUUUGGGAGGUGUCAUCAGAAUUAAGCGUUAAAUCUGAUAGUGGGUGGAAUGCACGGGGUUUGUAAAGCUACAAUUUAGGUAUAUUAUAGACCGAAUAAUAUGCAGUGUGCUGGACGCAACAGGGGAUGCUUCUCUGAUAGAUAAGAUGUUGGCUUCUGAAGGUGAAUUUCUGAUGCAUAAAGAAUUUUGCACCUGAAAAGCGCUAUAACUGAUAAUGUGCACGAGGAACAAUGCUGCUGUCUCACUGGUGAAGAUGAAAGGAAAUGUGUUAACAAAUUGAGUAAUAGGAAAAAAUUGUGACUAACGGACUGAACAAUUCAGACCAUAAUUCUGAAGUUGUAAUGCAAUUUGUCCAUGUAGCUGUGAAAGAAGUUUUGGCCCCUGUUUGGUAACAGGGAUGCAAGAUGUGAAUGCAGAAGGAUCGAGGUUACCUGUAGGUCAAAUGUUACCGUUAGAGCUGGAGUCACUUUAUUCUUUGGGCAUAUAGAAUGCAUAUAGUCACGUGGUUUCCCUUUGGAAGUUAUAGACAGAAAAGACCCAGCAAUUGCAUUGUUCAUUUGUGUAUUAAAUCUAGUUCCUUUUUUUCCCCUUGAAUACUCUCUUAAUAAUUUAAUUUCAAGGCAGUUAACAAAGGAAGUCAAUACUGAACCCCAAGCCAUGGGGUAAGGAAGUGACCAAGACACCCCAUCAGUGCCAGGAGUGGGGAAUAAACUUUGUCUCCUGAGAAUCUAUUCCUGUGCAGUGAUUUUAGUGGCAGACAAUCUUCCCCAAUAGUCAGGUUGGGAAAUGAGUCAAACCAGAAGCAUUUAAAAUAUCACUAUUUUGCAAAGAUUUGGGUUUGUAUAUUAAUCAUCAUCUCUUCUGUUUAUUCAAAAUCAAAUGGCAAUUCUAUGGCUUUUAUGCAUUUCUUUGAUUUCACCCCUUGACUUUGUGCCAGUCUUUGCAGAUCAUUCUCAAUGAAUCUACUUCUAUUAUUUUCUUACUCUGUCAUGUACACUAAAAACCAUCAUAUAUUGUCUCUUAAUCAUGCUAGGAAUGUUCCAGGCCUUUGUAGUCUCUCUCCAUGCAAAUCCUCCAAAUAUUUUUGUUGCUUUCCUUUGAAUUAAUUUCCUCGCUGCCCGUAUUUGCCUGGAAUGAGAGUGAUGAGAAAUGAGCUAUGGUCUCACUGAUGCCCUCCACGGGGAAGACGGUAUUGAGUUUUUGCUAUUGCUUAUCACUUGGGGUCACUCCCUCUACUGUUACCUUCCAGGUAAAUUAUUCCUCUGAAUAUUUUCCUCCUCAUUGGAUUUCUGAGCUAUUACGCCUAAACAUGUAAACCUUCAUAUUUGUAAAUAGUAACUUUAUUUACUGCUUAUGCUUCUGUGCUCAGAGGAAGCUGUUCCCUAUCCUCUGUUUAAUUUAACAGAGAAUGUUUAUGGUGACGGAGCACCUUUAAUUUGAAUCGAUAUCAAAACAUUACCCAAAUGGGCAGCAAGUUAGACUCACAACAGAAAAAUUUAUUUUUAGGAACUGCUGCUAGAAUUGGUAGGAAUAUUCGAACAGAGUCGAAAUUGCAGUGUCUGGUCCUCAGUUCUCUUUUGGAAAGCAUUACCCAGCAACAAAUGAAAUGGAGCCAACAUAACCAUUUAAAAUAGCAAAGUAAACAGUUCAUGUCGUAGUCAAGAUAAUCCUUAAUUUCUGCUGCUUAUCUGAGAUCUGCCCUGCCGAUCUGAUGGGAGGAUUUAACCUUCCUGAGAGCUGUUACCAGUGUAUGUGCUUGAACUGGGAAGACCCCUUUCCACCUGCUUUUCAGAGCCCUUUCUCCUAGAAGAUUAACGCUGCUAUGCCCCUUUUUAGAAAGAAAAACCUCUGAAAUAUGGAUUACUUUGAGGGAUGUAAGUAGGAAUAUUUUGCUACAAUACAGCUUAAGGGAAAUACUUAAAAAAUAAUGCCUAUUUAGAUCUACUUUUUUCUUUACAGAAGAACCGUGUUAUCUUAAAUUCUCAUAAUUUCCGUUAAUUGUGGAAAUUAAAAAUAAUUGGCCUAUGGUUACUGCCAGUUGUGUAACCAACUCAAAAUAAAAGCUAUAGGGGAGUUUAAUUUCAAA